Long non-coding RNA from Bufo bufo (common toad), 152 nucleotides. RefSeq lists it as uncharacterized. The record is from RefSeq and is a predicted model, not a curated record. The transcript is spliced from 3 exons. NCBI's taxonomy places the organism in Eukaryota, Metazoa, Chordata, Amphibia, Anura, Bufonidae.
GAAGGCUGUCCACACCAGACAGACCUAUCUGGCGGUCUUCCAAAUGGUAGCCGUGAGGAAAAAGUUACUCCGAGACCAGUGGGCUGAGGUCGUCGCUCCGUUCCUGGCGUCUGGUCCCCAGCAAGUAUUUUUUGAUCUCCCCGAUGUUCAAG